AGAGUUUGAUCAUGGCUCAGGACGAACGCUGGCGGCGUGCUUAACACAUGCAAGUCUAAGGAGAAAGUUUCCUUCGGGGAAUGAUUAAACUGGCGCACGGGUGAGUAACACGUAAGUAACCUACCCUUGGGUCCGGAAUAACUCCGAGAAAUCGGGGCUAAUACCGGAUGAUGCAGCGGCACCGCAUGGUGAUGUUGUUAAAGCCCUGCGUGGCGCCUAAGGAUGGGCUUGCGUCCGAUUAGCUAGUUGGUAGGGUAAAGGCCUACCAAGGCUACGAUCGGUAGCUGGUCUGAGAGGAUGAUCAGCCACACUGGAACUGAGACACGGUCCAGACUCCUACGGGAGGCAGCAGUGAGGAAUAUUGGGCAAUGCCCGAAAGGGUGACCCAGCAACGCCGCGUGGAGGAUGAAAGCCGUAAGGUUGUAAACUCCUGUUAGAGGGGACGAACAAUUCCGAUUGCCUCGGAACUUGACUGUACCCUCAGAGAAAGCCCCGGCUAACUACGUGCCAGCAGCCGCGGUAAUACGUAGGGGGCAAGCGUUGUCCGGAUUCACUGGGUGUAAAGGGCGCGCAGGCGGGUUGGCAAGUCAGAGGUGAAAUCCUACGGCUUAACUGUAGAACUGCCUUUGAUACUGCCAAUCUUGAGUACGGAAGAGAGAAGCGGAAUCCGGUGUAGUGGUGAAAUACGUAGAUAUCUGGAAGACACCAGUUGCGAAGGCGGCUUCUUGGUCCGUUACUGACGCUCAGGCGCGAAAGCGUGGGGAGCAAACAGGAUUAGAUACCCUAGUAGUCC
Molecule: ribosomal RNA, 793 nt
Filed under: uncultured bacterium
Lineage: Bacteria
Description: bacterial SSU rRNA
Rfam family: Bacterial small subunit ribosomal RNA
Source: RNAcentral